GCGAACGGGUGAGUAAUGUAUCGGAACGUGCCCAGUUGUGGGGGAUAACUGCUCGAAAGAGCAGCUAAUACCGCAUACGACCUGAGGGUGAAAGCGGGGGAUCGCAAGACCUCGCGCAAUUGGAGCGGCCGAUAUCAGAUUAGGUAGUUGGUGGGGUAAAGGCCUACCAAGGCAACGAUCUGUAGUUGGUCUGAGAGGACGACCAGCCACACUGGGACUGAGACACGGCCCAGACUCCUACGGGAGGCAGCAGUGGGGAAUUUUGGACAAUGGGCGCAAGCCUGAUCCAGCCAUGCCGCGUGCGGGAAGAAGGCCUUCGGGUUGUAAACCGCUUUUGUCAGGGAAGAAAUCCUUUGGGUUAAUACCUCGGGGGGAUGACGGUACCUGAAGA
This 391-nucleotide ribosomal RNA is filed under the name uncultured bacterium. RNAcentral's name for it is "bacterial SSU rRNA". It matches the Rfam family "Bacterial small subunit ribosomal RNA", at positions 98 to 485 of the family's 1533-position model. The record is from RNAcentral.